RNAcentral lists this ribosomal RNA (236 nucleotides) under uncultured bacterium. Its description in RNAcentral is "partial 16S ribosomal RNA". It matches the Rfam family "Bacterial small subunit ribosomal RNA", at positions 1267 to 1500 of the family's 1533-position model. The record is from RNAcentral.
GCGGAUCUCUUAAAGCCGUUCUCAGUUCGGACUGUAGGCUGCAACUCGCCUACACGAAGCUGGAAUCGCUAGUAAUCGCGGAUCAGCACGCCGCGGUGAAUACGUUCCCGGGCCUUGUACACACCGCCCGUCACACCAUGAGAGUCUGUAACACCCAAAGCCGGUGGGAUAACCUUUAUAGGAGUCAGCCGUCUAAGGUAGGACAGAUGAUUAGGGUGAAGUCGUAACAAGGUAUC